RNAcentral lists this ribosomal RNA (497 nucleotides) under uncultured bacterium. RNAcentral describes it as "partial 16S ribosomal RNA". It matches the Rfam family "Bacterial small subunit ribosomal RNA", at positions 28 to 507 of the family's 1533-position model. The record is from RNAcentral.
GAUGAACGCUGGCGGCGUGCCUAAUACAUGCAAGUCGAGCGAAGAGACGAGGAGCUUGCUCGUGUGACGUUAGCGGCGGCCAAGUGAGUAACACGAGGAUAACCUACCUAUACGUCUGUCAUAACUACCGGAAGCCGGAGCGAAUACCGGGUAAUAUAUUGAAUCUCAUGGAUCAUUAGUGAAAGAAGGAUUUGGUUUCACUUGGAGAUGGAUCCGCGCCGGAUUAGCUGGUUGGUAAGGUAACGGCUUACCAAGGCAACGAUGCGUAGCCGGCCUGAGAGGGUGAUGGGCCACCACGGAACUGAGACACGGUCCAGAAUCCUACGGGAGGCAGCAGUAGUGAAUCUUCCUCAAUGGGCGGAAGCCUGCCGGAGCAACGCCGCGUGAGUGAUGAUGGUCUUCGGAUCGUAAAAAUCUGUUAUUAGGGAAGAAGCAGGGUGUAAGUAACUAUGCAUGUCUUGACGGUACCUAAUCAAAAAGCCACGGCUAACUACGUG